AGUAAAAUAAGCUAAUCUGUUAAAGCUUCCGGGCCCAUACCCUGGACACGUGGGUUAGAAUCCCGCUAUUACUA
RNAcentral lists this transfer RNA (74 nucleotides) under Pampus echinogaster. RNAcentral describes it as "tRNA-Met". It matches the Rfam family "tRNA". From Rfam's summary of the family: Transfer RNA (tRNA) molecules are approximately 80 nucleotides in length. Their secondary structure includes four short double-helical elements and three loops (D, anti-codon, and T loops). Lineage: Eukaryota; Metazoa; Chordata; Actinopteri; Scombriformes; Stromateidae. RNAcentral also lists the same sequence under 3 other names. The record is from RNAcentral.